This 68-nucleotide transfer RNA is filed under the name Eurytrema pancreaticum. RNAcentral's name for it is "tRNA-Asn". The record is from RNAcentral. Lineage: Eukaryota; Metazoa; Platyhelminthes; Trematoda; Plagiorchiida; Dicrocoeliidae.
GUUCGCGUAGAUUAUGUUUUAAGUUGUGAUGCUGUUAACGUUAUGAAGGCUUGUUUGUGAUAGUGUAG